RNAcentral lists this ribosomal RNA (253 nucleotides) under uncultured bacterium. RNAcentral describes it as "partial 16S ribosomal RNA". It matches the Rfam family "Bacterial small subunit ribosomal RNA", at positions 524 to 776 of the family's 1533-position model. The record is from RNAcentral.
UACGUAGGGUGCGAGCGUUGUCCGGAAUCAUUGGGCGUAAAGCGCGCGUAGGCGGCCCGGUAAGUCCGUUGUGAAAGUCAAAGGCUCAACCUUUGAACGCCGAUGGAUACUGCCGGGCUAGAGUCCGGAAGAGGCGAGUGGAAUUCCUGGUGUAGCGGUGGAAUGCGCAGAUAUCAGGAGGAACACCGGUGGCGAAGGCGGGUCUCUGGGCCGAUACUGACGCUGAGGAGCGAAAGCGUGGGGAGCAAACAGG